This 117-nucleotide ribosomal RNA is filed under the name Oscillospiraceae bacterium. The record is from RNAcentral. Lineage: Bacteria; Bacillati; Bacillota; Clostridia; Eubacteriales; Oscillospiraceae.
UCCGGUGUAGAUGACGACAAGGAAACACCUGUUCCCAUACCGAACACAGAAGUUAAGCUUGUUGGUGCUGAAAAUACUUGGCGGGAAACUGCCCGGGAAAAUAGGAAUAUGCCGGAA